CGGCGGUUUGGCCGAGUGGUCUAAGGCGAUUGACUAGAAAUCAAUUCCGUUCGCGGGCGCAUGUUCGAAUCAUGCAGCCGUCGUUGCAC
RNAcentral lists this transfer RNA (89 nucleotides) under Penicillium nalgiovense. RNAcentral's name for it is "tRNA-Ser". It matches the Rfam family "tRNA". From Rfam's summary of the family: Transfer RNA (tRNA) molecules are approximately 80 nucleotides in length. Their secondary structure includes four short double-helical elements and three loops (D, anti-codon, and T loops). The record is from RNAcentral. Lineage: Eukaryota; Fungi; Ascomycota; Eurotiomycetes; Eurotiales; Aspergillaceae.